AUCCAACUGACAAGUCUCAAAUAGGACGAAAUGCACAUCUUGGAU
RNAcentral lists this non-coding RNA (45 nucleotides) under Schistosoma curassoni. The record is from RNAcentral. Lineage: Eukaryota; Metazoa; Platyhelminthes; Trematoda; Strigeidida; Schistosomatidae.